GCUGAAUGCCCUGAAAACAACUGUAGGACGAUGAGAAGGUUUUGGCAGCUGCAAUCUUAAAGACCAGGAAGUGAGGUGAGAUCACCUGUAGAGGUCAUGCUGCCCAGUCUCAAGUCCCUGAUUAUAUUCAAGACGUGGAGCUCUCUUUUUCCCGUCCUGCUUUCUUUCCAGAAGUGCCUCAGAUGCAUCCUCCCCUUCUCUUUUCUCCACAUGAAGACAUCACUGACCAUCUUCUCUGGUUUGCUUUCCAACACCGAGCGCCAAGUGCUUCAAAGGUCAUGGUGCCCUGGGGCCAACAGCUACUUAUGUGGGCAUUUAUAACCAAAUAAAUAUUGAAAUGGCCCACAAA
RNAcentral lists this non-coding RNA (349 nucleotides) under Pongo abelii (Sumatran orangutan). The record is from RNAcentral. Lineage: Eukaryota; Metazoa; Chordata; Mammalia; Primates; Hominidae.